Molecule: ribosomal RNA, 497 nt
Filed under: uncultured bacterium
Lineage: Bacteria
Description: partial 16S ribosomal RNA
Rfam family: Bacterial small subunit ribosomal RNA
Source: RNAcentral
GAUGAACGCUGGCGGCGUGCCUAAUACAUGCAAGUCGAGCGAACAGACGAGGAGCUUGCUCCUCUGACGUUAGCGGCGGACGGGUGAGUAACACGUGGAUAACCUACCUAUAAGACUGGGAUAACUUCGGGAAACCGGAGCUAAUACCGGAUAAUAUAUUGAACCGCAUGGUUCAAUAGUGAAAGACGGUUUUGCUGUCACUUAUAGAUGGAUCCGCGCCGCAUUAGCUAGUUGGUAAGGUAACGGCUUACCAAGGCAACGAUGCGUAGCCGACCUGAUAGGGUGAUCGGCCACACUGGAACUGAGACACGGUCCAGACUCCUACGGGAGGCAGCAGUAGGGAAUCUGCCGCAAUGGGCGAAAGCCUGACGGAGCAACGCCGCGUGAGUGAUGAAGGUCUUCGGAUCGUAAAACUCUGUUAUUAGGGAAGAACAAAUGUGUAAGUAACUAUGCACGUCUUGACGGUACCUAAUCAGAAAGCCACGGCUAACUACGUG